Molecule: ribosomal RNA, 636 nt
Filed under: uncultured bacterium
Lineage: Bacteria
Description: partial 16S ribosomal RNA
Source: RNAcentral
CGAUCAACCGCCCCAUUUCCGGGUGGUUCCGCUGCUAGCCAUCGACCAGACUCUCCUACUAGUCGGUGUGACCCUGACUCUGUGCCGGGUCUGAGGAUGCCCUCCGUCGUCACCCCUUAUAACCUGUUACCCGCUUUCGGACUAGGUCGGUACGGCGCACCCACUUCUUCCGGAAGCCCAACAUUUCGGGAAAACAACCCCUUCUUUAGGACGACCGAUUAUGGGCCGCCCCUACUGCCAUGGGUUUCUUAUUCGUGGCCGAUUGAAGCACGGUCGUCGGCGCCAUUAUGCUUCCCACGUCCGCAAUGAGCCUUAAUGACCCGCAUUUCGCACGCAUCCACCACCGAAUUCAGGCAACACUUUCGGGACCCGAGUUGGACCCUUAACGUCACCUAUGACCCAGUGAUCUCACACCAUCUCCCACCGCCUUAAGGGCCACAUCGUCACUUUACGCAUCUCUAGCCCUCCUUGUGGGCACCGCUUCCGCCGGUGGACCCGGUUGUGACUGUGACUCCGUGCUUUCGCACCCCUCGUUUGUCCUAAUCUAUGGGACCAUCAGGUGCGGGAUUUGCUACGCUUGACCUACAACCCAAGUUAAACCCUGAGUCAUAGCUUCGAUUGCGCAAUUCAGCGGCG